UUUUUUUAUCAAAGAUAAUAUAGAAAUUUCCAUUCAAGAAGAGGAAAAAUCUUAAGAUAACAGAACAUCCAAAUCACGGGGAGAUUUGAACACCACCCUACAAUAAUAUUACCAGAACGAGCCUGAUUGGCCACCCAAUUUGCACUUCUAUUCGCAAGCCUAUUAAUAUAAGCUACUUUUGCUAGAGCUAUAACAUAAGAUUCAAUCUCCCAAGGAAGUAUAGUCUGCUCGGAAGAAACCAACUUCGCAAGCUGCAUCGAGUUUGUUUCAAUAAGGCAAGGGAAGUAGUUUCUGCUCUGAAUUAAUCUAUAGGCCAUGCUAAGAGCAUACCCCUUCGCUGCCAAAGGAGAAAGACCGAAAAAGUUUCCAUAAGACCAUCCAUGAGAACACCCUCCUAAUUUCUACAUAAGAUGCCCAAACCAGCUGUACUAGACCCAUAAUCGAAAGAAGUAUCACUAUUGAUUUUAAACCAGCCCACAUUAGGAGGAGACCAAGACAACUGCCUGAUUACUAAUGGGCCAGGAGGAAUUGGCAAAGAAUGAUGUUGCGGAAGUGCUGUUGAAAGCAUUUCCUCAAAAGCAUUCUUAGCCUUUGAGAUGGUAACGAUAGGAUUAGGCAAUUCAGCUUGAAAAACCAUCACAUUUUUUGUUUUUCAUAUAUACCAGCAGAGCAAGCUAGCCAUUCGGAGUUCCCAGUAAUCUGAUUUAGCCACAUAUCUUUGCAGAAGGAUGAAAAUCCUCUGUCACUAGGAUAAUAACCUAACUAGGAACCAAACCAAGUAGCCCUAGAGUGUUCACAGAAAAAGAAAAGAUAUUCUAUAAUUUCCUCAGCCUUAUUUAAUGCUAGACAAGAAGUAGAAGAAAAGCAUUUCCUCUUGAAGAGAUCAACUUUUGUAGCCAAAGCAUCAUAACAUACACACCAGAUAAAGUUACGAAUAUUUGGCGCAGCUGAAAUAUUCCAAAUCUUCAUCCACUGAUUGCAGCUUGUGGCAUGAAAGGAAUUAUGCAUAAUAUUCUGGAGAGAUUUGAGCACAAAGUAAGUUGAUUUCACUGUUGGAAUCCCAUCUCGAGUAAAAUGCCACGCUCUGCGAUAUUCAUUUUGAGCCUUAGAUAGAAGAAUUCUCAUAAUCUCUUUACAUUCGUUAGGAGAAAAGCAAUCAUAUAAAAUAUGAGGAUCCCAUGACAAAGAGAUAGGGUUAAUGAGGUCUGAAACAUACAGAAUUGGACUAUUUUGUGGCUACAAAGAAGAAAUCUUGAAAUGAGGAAGAGUUGGAACCCAAGGUUUCGACCAUACAUUAAUGAAAGAUCUCCUAAUAAUAUUCCAUCUAAGACCCAACUUUAGCACAUCCCUACCCUGCAAUAGACUGCGCCAAGCCCAAGAAGAGUUUAAAGUAAGCCUAGCUUCCAAAAAUUGAACAUGGGGGAAAUAGAUGCCUUUCAACAACCUAGAAUACAGAGAAUGAGGAAAUUGCAAAACUCUCGGGCUUAUUUUGCUAAAAUUGCAUCAUUGAACAAAUUAAGGUCCUUAAAACUCAUACUCCUUUCUUACUCCAUGUUAGAGAAGACCAUAUCCACCAGUGAAUAUUGGAGGAGUCCCACGAGUGUCGCCACCAGAACUAGGCAAAAAGACUAUGAAUUUCUUUUAUAAAGCUCACAGGAAGCUUAAACGUCACCAUAACAUAUGAUGAGAUUGCUUGAACGACAGCUUUAAUUAGAAUUUCUUUACCCGCCUGAACUAAUUUUUACACUUCCAUCCCUUUAGCUUUCGCACAAUUUGAUCUUUAAUAAAAGAUAAAGCUUGCUUCUUUGAUCUACCCCAAACUACUGACAGCCCCAAAUACUUAGAAAGAGAUGAGGAAAUUGGAAUUUACAAAAUCUGAGAGAUCUCUUAUUGAAAGAAGGCUGGGAAUUAGAACUGAAUGUAAUCUCUGAUUUGUGCUUAUCAAGAAUGUUUUCUCUGA
RNAcentral lists this unclassified non-coding RNA (1960 nucleotides) under Hevea brasiliensis (rubber tree). The record is from RNAcentral. Lineage: Eukaryota; Viridiplantae; Streptophyta; Magnoliopsida; Malpighiales; Euphorbiaceae.